Molecule: ribosomal RNA, 1468 nt
Filed under: Klebsiella aerogenes
Lineage: Bacteria; Pseudomonadati; Pseudomonadota; Gammaproteobacteria; Enterobacterales; Enterobacteriaceae
Description: bacterial SSU rRNA
Rfam family: Bacterial small subunit ribosomal RNA
Source: RNAcentral
CACAGAGAGCUUGCUCUCGGGUGACGAGCGGCGGACGGGUGAGUAAUGUCUGGGAAACUGCCUGAUGGAGGGGGAUAACUACUGGAAACGGUAGCUAAUACCGCAUAACGUCGCAAGACCAAAGUGGGGGACCUUCGGGCCUCAUGCCAUCAGAUGUGCCCAGAUGGGAUUAGCUAGUAGGUGGGGUAAUGGCUCACCUAGGCGACGAUCCCUAGCUGGUCUGAGAGGAUGACCAGCCACACUGGAACUGAGACACGGUCCAGACUCCUACGGGAGGCAGCAGUGGGGAAUAUUGCACAAUGGGCGCAAGCCUGAUGCAGCCAUGCCGCGUGUAUGAAGAAGGCCUUCGGGUUGUAAAGUACUUUCAGCGAGGAGGAAGGCAUUAAGGUUAAUAACCUUGGUGAUUGACGUUACUCGCAGAAGAAGCACCGGCUAACUCCGUGCCAGCAGCCGCGGUAAUACGGAGGGUGCAAGCGUUAAUCGGAAUUACUGGGCGUAAAGCGCACGCAGGCGGUCUGUCAAGUCGGAUGUGAAAUCCCCGGGCUCAACCUGGGAACUGCAUUCGAAACUGGCAGGCUAGAGUCUUGUAGAGGGGGGUAGAAUUCCAGGUGUAGCGGUGAAAUGCGUAGAGAUCUGGAGGAAUACCGGUGGCGAAGGCGGCCCCCUGGACAAAGACUGACGCUCAGGUGCGAAAGCGUGGGGAGCAAACAGGAUUAGAUACCCUGGUAGUCCACGCCGUAAACGAUGUCGACUUGGAGGUUGUGCCCUUGAGGCGUGGCUUCCGGAGCUAACGCGUUAAGUCGACCGCCUGGGGAGUACGGCCGCAAGGUUAAAACUCAAAUGAAUUGACGGGGGCCCGCACAAGCGGUGGAGCAUGUGGUUUAAUUCGAUGCAACGCGAAGAACCUUACCUACUCUUGACAUCCAGAGAACUUAGCAGAGAUGCUUUGGUGCCUUCGGGAACUCUGAGACAGGUGCUGCAUGGCUGUCGUCAGCUCGUGUUGUGAAAUGUUGGGUUAAGUCCCGCAACGAGCGCAACCCUUAUCCUUUGUUGCCAGCGGUUAGGCCGGGAACUCAAAGGAGACUGCCAGUGAUAAACUGGAGGAAGGUGGGGAUGACGUCAAGUCAUCAUGGCCCUUACGAGUAGGGCUACACACGUGCUACAAUGGCAUAUACAAAGAGAAGCGACCUCGCGAGAGCAAGCGGACCUCAUAAAGUAUGUCGUAGUCCGGAUUGGAGUCUGCAACUCGACUCCAUGAAGUCGGAAUCGCUAGUAAUCGUAGAUCAGAAUGCUACGGUGAAUACGUUCCCGGGCCUUGUACACACCGCCCGUCACACCAUGGGAGUGGGUUGCAAAAGAAGUAGGUAGCUUAACCUUCGGGAGGGCGCUUACCACUUUGUGAUUCAUGACUGGGGUGAAGUCGUAACAAGGUAACCGUAGGGGAACCUGCGGUUGGAUCACCUCCUUA